GAACAUGAGAGUUUGAUCCUGGCUCAGGAUCAACGCUGGCGGCGUGCCUAACACAUGCAAGUCGAACGAAGCAAUUAAGAUGAAGUUUUCGGAUGGAAUCUUGAUUGACUGAGUGGCGGACGGGUGAGUAACGCGUGGAUAACCUGCCUCACACUGGGGGAUAACAGUUAGAAAUGACUGCUAAUACCGCAUAAGCGCACAGUGCCGCAUGGCAGUGUGUGAAAAACUCCGGUAGUGUGAGAUGGAUCCGCGUCUGAUUAGCCAGUUGGCGGGGUAACGGCCCACCAAAGCGACGAUCAGUAGCCGACCUGAGAGGGUGACCGGCCACAUUGGGACUGAGACACGGCCCAAACUCCUACGGGAGGCAGCAGUGGGGAAUAUUGCACAAUGGGCGAAAGCCUGAUGCAGCGACGCCGCGUGAGUGAAGAAGUAUUUCGGUAUGUAAAGCUCUAUCAGCAGGGAAGAAAAUGACGGUACCUGACUAAGAAGCCCCGGCUAACUACGUGCCAGCAGCCGCGGUAAUACGUAGGGGGCNAGCGUUAUCCGGAUUUACUGGGUGUAAAGGGAGCGUAGACGGCGAAGCAAGUCUGAAGUGAAAACCCAGGGCUCAACCCUGGCACUGCUUUGGAAACUGUUUUGCUAGAGUGUCGGAGAGGUAAGUGGAAUUCCUAGUGUAGCGGUGAAAUGCGUAGAUAUUAGGAGGAACACCAGUGGCGAAGGCGGCUUACUGGACGAUAACUGACGUUGAGGCUCGAAAGCGUGGGGAGCAAACAGGAUUAGAUACCCUGGUAGUCCACGCCGUAAACGAUGAAUGCUAGGUGUUGGGGGGCAAAGCCUUCGGUGCCGCCGCAAACGCAGUAAGCAUUCCACCUGGGGAGUACGUUCGCAAGAAUGAAACUCAAAGGAAUUGACGGGGANCCGCACAAGCGGUGGAGCAUGUGGUUUAAUUCGAAGNAACGCGAAGAACCUUACCAAGUCUUGACAUCCCCCUGACGGCCGGUAACGCGGCCNUUCUUCGGGACAGGGGAGACAGGUGGUGCAUGGUUGUCGUCAGCUCGUGUCGUGAGAUGUUGGGUUAAGUCCCGCAACGAGCGCAACCCUUAUCCUUAGUAGCCAGCAGGUAAAGCUGGGCACUCUAGGGAGACUGCCAGGGAUAACCUGGAGGAAGGUGGGGAUGACGUCAAAUCAUCAUGCCCCUUAUGAUUUGGGCUACACACGUGCUACAAUGGCGUAAACAAAGGGAAGCGAGACAGUGAUGUGGAGCAAAUCCCAAAAAUAACGUCCCAGUUCGGACUGUAGUCUGCAACCCGACUACACGAAGCUGGAAUCGCUAGUAAUCGCGAAUCAGAAUGUCGCGGUGAAUACGUUCCCGGGUCUUGUACACACCGCCCGUCACACCAUGGGAGUCAGCAACGCCCGAAGUCAGUGACCCAACCGAAAGGAGGGAGCUGCCNAAGGCGGGGCAGGUAACNGGGG
Molecule: ribosomal RNA, 1476 nt
Filed under: Enterocloster clostridioformis
Lineage: Bacteria; Bacillati; Bacillota; Clostridia; Lachnospirales; Lachnospiraceae
Description: 16S ribosomal RNA
Rfam family: Bacterial small subunit ribosomal RNA
Source: RNAcentral